This 292-nucleotide long non-coding RNA is filed under the name Glycine max (soybean). Its description in RNAcentral is "long non-coding RNA (GMAX_LNC002605)". Lineage: Eukaryota; Viridiplantae; Streptophyta; Magnoliopsida; Fabales; Fabaceae. The record is from RNAcentral.
UGACGAUUUACCUAGGGUCAAGCCUUGCAGCAGCGUAGCAGAGCAGCAACGGGAGCAACGACUUUUCAGAGUGCAGCUGGUUACGCCAGUUUGACUGGCGAAAAGCAUGCAACAGGUCUCGCCAGUUGCAAUUGCGAGAAGCUUUUAAAAAUAUUCCUACGAGUAUUCCUUACAAAAAGCCAUUGAAAUGGAUCAUCAGUCAUGCUCUCCUUCACGUACCAGCUCAAAUAAUAUUGUGAGUGUGUGUUUGGCUUGUGUUAGUGGGAAAAGCUUUCCUCCUUGUGCUCUCUCU